GAACAGACCCAACCUGUCUCGUUUACAAUCACCUCUGUGCACAUCUUACACUACAGCAAGCUUUGUCGAUUAACAGCCAGACCGCUGUGCUUCCCUCCAACUGAGUGACCUGGAUAGACCCCUGUAAGGUGAGCCCCCCGCCCCGUCUGCCAACACUCAGAUUAGUGCCCUGUCUAUGUAGUUCAUUAAGGAGUUAAAAUCCAAGUAGCAAUAUCUCUUCUAGCUACAGAAUAACUAUAUGCACAUUUAUAUGUGACAAUACUAGUAUGUUUAUUUUAUAAUAUGGUAUUUAUUAUCUGGUAUUAUAUUUGUUUUACAUUUCAUCCACAACUUCUGUAUUGCAACCAGAUUUAAAGAGAAUACAGAAAAUGUGAUUUAUUUUUUGAUGUCACUUGGGGAAGGUUUGUACUCAGUAUUAAAUGGUUUAUUCACUAAACUGUGACUUGUAGGGAGCUGAAAAUAAGGUUUUAGAAUUUAGGCAAAAAGAGACAAUUUGGAAAAAAAAAUCUCCAACUCUUUAAUCAAGUGUGCCAAACUUUUUGCUAUUUGGUUUUAAAUUCGUUAUAAAUCGGUGUUUAGUGAAUUAACCCUUUAUGCUUUACGUGUAUAUCUCGGAACAAAUCUGUACAACUCCUAUAAUUCAGGCCACUUUUGUUUCCACAACAUUUUCAGAGCUGGCAUAGGACUCCCCGAAUCCCUUGUGCUUCAGUUAAAGGAGUAUGUCCUGUCAUCCAAAUUAUCAACUGGUGGUCUUAUGAAGGAUGAGAGUGGUAGUUUAAAAACAAAGAUGCCUAGCUAUGGUAACACCGUCCUCUUCCUGACACAUCAGGUCCAACUAGAGAGUAGGUCAGGCAUAGGCAACCUUCGGCACUGCAGAUGUUUUGGACUCCACCUCCCAUGAUGCUUUGCCAGCAUUAUGUGUGGUAGAGCAUUAUGGGGGAUGUAGUCCACAACAUCUGGAGUGCUGAAGGUUGCCUAUCCCUGGAGUAGGUCCUCCUGGUCAUUAGCCCCAUGUAGAACAGAGAUCAGAGAAAAGCAUAGUGACCCUGUUAAUAAUUAUUAUUACUAUAAUUAAUAUUAAUAUUAGCAUUUAUUCCACAGUGCUUUGCAAUAUUAUAAAGGGGGAAAGUUAACAAUAAAUGAGGCAAUUACUAAAUAUUACAGGAAUAAUAGGUUGAUGAGGACCCUGCUAUAAAGAGUUAACAAUCUAUACAGCUGUUUCCCCCGUUGUUUGAUGUACAACCCCCUCGUCAUUUUUAGUAUCUUGGUAGAAGAUUCUAUAACUGAUAAAAACCAUUGUUAGAAAUAAGUAAAUUGAUAUCCUGCCCUAAAAAUGCUUUUACACCUUACCUUACAUCAGCUGAUUCCUGUUUACUGUGUCAGUACUUGCUAAUUUCUACUGUAGGGAAUAACAAUGUAGGGGACACUGGGGGAACAGAACAAAUAGUGAUUAUAGGGCACUGGGGGAACAGAACAAAUAGUGAUUAUAGGGCACUGGGGAAUAGAACAAAUAGUGAUUAGAGGGCACUGGGGGAAAAGAACAAAUAGUGAUUAGAGGGCACUGGGGGAACAGAACAAAUAGUGAUUAUAGGGCACUGGGGGAACAGAACAAAUAGUGAUUAGAGGGCACUGGGGGAACAGAACAAAUAGUGAUUAGAGGGCACUGGGGGAACAGAACAAAUAGUGAUUAGAGGGCACUGGGGGAACAGAACAAAUAGUGAUUAGAGGACACUGGGGGAACAGAACAAAUAGUGAUUAGAGGACACUGGGGGAACAGAACAAAUAGUGAUUAUAGGGCACUGGGGGAACAGAACAAAUAGUGAUUAGAGGGCACUGGGGGAACAGAACAAAUAGUGAUUAGAGGGCACUGGGGGAACAGAACAAAUAGUGAUUAGAGGGCACUGGGGGAACAGAACAAAUAGUGAUUAGAGGGCACUGGGGGAACAGAACAAAUAGUGAUUAGAGGACACUGGGGGAACAGAACAAAUAGUGAUUAGAGGACACUGGGGGAAUAGAACAAAUAGUGAUUAGAGGACACUGGGGGAAUAGUGCAUAUAGUGAUUACAGGACACUUGAGGAAUAGUGCAGAUAGUGAUUAGAGGACACUGGGGUAUAGUGUGUAUAGUGAUGAGAGGGCACUGAGUUAAUAGUGUGUAUAGUGAUGAGAGGGCACUGAGUUAAUAGUGUGUAUAGUGAUGAGAGGGCACUGGGGUAUAGUGUGUAUAGUGGUGAGAGGACACUGGGGUAUAGUAUGUAUAGUGGUGAGAGGACACUGGGGUAUAGUGUGGAUAGUGAUGAGAGGGCACUGAGUUAAUAGUGUGUAUAGUGAUGAGAGGGCACUGGGGUAUAGUGUGUAUAGUGGUGAGAGGACACUGGGGUAUAGUGUGGAUAGUGGUGAGAGGACACUGGGGUAUAGUGUGGAUAGUAGUGAGAGUACACUGGGGUAUAGUGUGGAUAGUGAUGAGAGGGCACUGAGUUAAUAGUGUGUAUAGUGGUGAGAGGACACUGGGGUAUAGUGUGUAUAGUGAUGAGAGGGCACUGAGUUAAUAGUGUGUAUAGUGAUGAGAGGGCACUGGGGUAUAGUGUGUAUAGUGGUGAGAGGACACUGGGGUAUAGUGUGUAUAGUGGUGAGAGGACACUGGGGUAUAGUGUGUAUAGUGGUGAGAGGACACUGGGGUAUAGUGUGUAUAGUGAUUAGAGGACACUGGGGUAUAGUGUGUAUAGUGAUGAGAGGGCACUGAGUUAAUAGUGUGUAUAGUGAUGAGAGGGCACUGGGGUAUAGUGUGUAUAGUGGUGAGAGGACACUGGGGUAUAGUGUGUAUAGUGGUGAGAGGUCACUGGGGUAUAGUGUGGAUAGUGAUGAGAGGGCACUGAGUUAAUAGUGUGUAUAGUGAUGAGAGGGCACUGGGGUAUAGUGUGUAUAGUGGUGAGAGGACACUGGGGUAUAGUGUGGAUAGUGGUGAGAGGACACUGGGGUAUAGUGUGGAUAGUGGUGAGAGUACACUGGGGUAUAGUGUGGAUAGUGAUGAGAGGGCACUGAGUUAAUAGUGUGUAUAGUGGUGAGAGGACACUGGGGUAUAGUGUGGAUAGUGGUGAGAGUACACUGGGGUAUAGUGUGGAUAGUGAUGAGAGGGCACUGAGUUAAUAGUGUGUAUAGUGGUGAGAGGACACUGGGGUAUAGUGUGUAUAGUGAUGAGAGGGCACUGAGUUAAUAGUGUGUAUAGUGAUGAGAGGGCACUGGGGUAUAGUGUGUAUAGUGGUGAGAGGACACUGGGGUAUAGUGUGUAUAGUGGUGAGAGGACACUGGGGUAUAUUGUGUAUAGUGAUUAGAGGACACUGGGGUAUAGUGUGUAUAGUGAUGAGAGGGCACUGAGUUAAUAGUGUGUAUAGUGAUGAGAGGGCACUGGGGUAUAGUGUGGAUAGUGGUGAGAGGACACUGGGGUAUAGUGUGGAUAGUGGUGAGAGUACACUGGGGUAUAGUGUGGAUAGUGAUGAGAGGGCACUGAGUUAAUAGUGUGUAUAGUGGUGAGAGGGCACUGGGGUAUAGUGUGUAUAGUGAUGAGAGGGCACUGAGUUAAUAGUGUGUAUAGUGAUGAGAGGGCACUGGGGUAUAGUGUGUAUAGUGGUGAGAGGACACUGGGGUAUAGUGUGUAUAGUGAUGAGAGGACACUGGGGUAUAGUGUGGAUAGUGAUGAGAGGGCACUGAGUUAAUAGUGUGUAUAGUGAUGAGAGGACACUGGGGUAUAGUGUGGAUAGUGAUGAGAGGGCACUGAGUUAAUAGUGUGUAUAGUGGUGAGAGGACACUGGGGUAUAGUGUGGAUAGUGAUGAGAGGGCACUGAGUUAAUAGUGUGUAUAGUGAUGAGAGGACACUGGGGUAUAGUGUGGAUAGUGAUGAGAGGGCACUGAGUUAAUAGUGUGUAUAGUGGUGAGAGGACACUGGGGUAUAGUGUGGAUAGUGAACACAAACGCUUGUAAAUAAAUGGAACCGCUCUACAUGUUACACUAUCAUAUUUACGAUGUAUCAAUGUAAAGUAAACCUUGCAAUAACAAUAACGGAUAAACAAACCACUUGAGCACUAGUCUAAAACAUGUUAUCUUGUUUGCACCUGGAAAAGACUGUAUAUGCGCAGUGUAAAUUGAUAUGUUUCUCUGAAGGCCUGCGUGCCUACCUUUAUACCUUUAUCUCUUACUACACUUCAAUAAACAAGAUUUACAAAAAAAAAAAAUAGUGUGGAUAGUAGUGUGAGAAGGCACUGAGGCAUAGUGCGGAACACGGUGAAAGGUAAAGUAGAGAAAAAUUACAAACAGUAGUAACAGGGAUACUUGGAGACUGGCAUAGAUAGUGGCGAGAGGGACACUGUGGAAUAGCGCAGGUUUUUUUACAGUACGAACAGUAAGGGAAGGUGGGUUUAUCAGUACAUUUUCUAAAAUUAAUGUGACAAACCAAUUAUUACAUGAAAACGUAUUGUCAAUUUAUUAUCAAAGUAUAUGAGUGGCUGCAGGCAUAUGAAUGUAAUUGUGUGUAAAUGUUUAAUUGUACGCUUAUGCAAGAGUGCAUUAUUAGGUGUUAAUAAGUUGAUUGUUAUGUAUACGUGGGUGACUAAAAAUGCAUGUGAUUUUUUUGUGUGGCUAUGUAUGUGUCUGAUUUGAUGUGUAAUAUGAGGCUUCAGAGGUUCGGAUUGGUGGGAAGAGUUCAUCAGUUUGCGCUUGGACCCAAUGCCCUUCUUUAAACAGAAAUAUAGAAUUUUGUUGAGACUGAAUCAAUAUACCAUAUAAAAUUACACACACAAAAAAACUCUGUAAUAAAUGUUCUGCCUGGGUAUGCUAACUGAGAAGUUGAUUAAUCUCUUUUGUGAUUAUUCAUUAAGGGUUUUUGUUUUUUUCUGAAAGUCAGGAUUAAAUGGAACUAUGAGGAGUCACGAUUGUCUGAAUUUUACAAAUCUAUCCCUGGAUUCUUGCAAAACAGAGCCCACGCAAAUCAAUCUUAAAUUUCUUGUUCAUUUCAAUUAAAUAGAAAUUAAUCUAGAGUCCUGCUGACUGCAUUAUCCUGUGGUGAAAUCCUCUCCUCAACCCCAUUUCUUUAUACCUUGGGCAGUGGACGGAGGUAACCCAACCCAUUCCUCUGGACCUCCUUAUUUAUUUACAUAUUACUUUAAUUCAUUUGAUUUUCAGCUGAAGCCUGCUUGUUGUUUCCAUCAUUUUUAUAAUUUCCUACAAAAAUCAGAAAAAUAGAAAUCUCAGAAUACCUAAAAUAAUGGAUUCAUCAAGAUUAAUACGAUUUGAGAAAUGUUUAAGUUCCACAACUUUGUAUUGAAUUUUGGCUUCUUUGGAUUUAAUAAUUCAGCAACCGUAGAAUAGAUAUGUAUUAUAUUUGCACAGAUGUGACCAGUAUCUAAAUUGAACCCCAUGUGCUGUUAAUGAAGACUCAAUGUCAAUUUUUGGUUCAAAUUCCACAUUGUUGGUUUCUCUCAGCUCAGGUUUGCUUCUGUUCCGCUAACUUUUUAAUCAGAUUUAAUUUGAUUUUCUGUUUGAAUAACCAUAGUUCAGCACUUUGGAUGUGUUGGACCUCCAAAAAUUAUAACAAUAUUAAUAAGUCAGCGGUAACAUUAAGACCCUCAUCGACCCCAUAUAUAACCUCUAAUCCAAUUGUAUGAUGGAAAUAGUGUCCUCGUUGUAAUUUGAUUUGUGUAAAUAGUAAUGGUUCAUCUUGGGUGCUUAAACAGUCUUGGACAAAAAAAACAAGUCCUGUGCUCAAACUCCCACCACUUCUGGGCGGCAGCAGCAACAAUAGUACACAUCAGCCCCAAUACAUACAGUAAAAACCAAAGGGAAAAAAGUUACCUGCGCUCUCUCCCAAAUCCCUAUGUAUAUUUAAACAAAUGGAGGUUAUUUAGUUACUCCAAUGGCCACUGGAGGGAAUGCACGCCUGCCACGUCAAGGCAAACCUCUCAGGUGGGUCCUACUCUGACCUUUCACCUUGCCUCCUUGACCUUCUGGCAAAAAUAUCUCUAAUGAGACAGAGAGGGGUAUUUUUUCUAUACACCCCUAAAUACUUAUUAAAGGAGCACUAUAGGAUCAGGAACAUAAACAUGUAUUCCUCACGCUAUAGGGUUAAAACCACCAUCUAGCCCCCCCGUGGCCCCUCAUGCCUCCAUAAAUAUAGGAAAUUUUACUUGUAUUCAAGUCUGCAGCUCCUGGCUUUGCCCCUGUUUCCUUUAGACCUGCCCACUGCCUGCUGGCAUCAUCAGAAGUGGUAGCCUGAUCCAAUCACAGUGCUUCCCCAUAGGAUUGGCUGAGACUGACAAAGAGGCAGAUCAGGGGCAGAGCCAGCACAAUUCAAACACAGCCCUGGCCAAUCAGCAUCUCCUCAUAGAGAUUAAUUGAAUCAAUGUAUCUCUAUGAGGAAAGUUCAGUGUCUGCAUGCAGAGGGAGGAGACACUGAAUGUUUGGAUGCAUUUUAGGCAGCCAUGACCCAGGAAGGAUCUCUAAUAGCCAUCUGAGGAGUGGCCAGUGAAGUUAUCACUAGGCUGUAAUGUAAACACUGCAUUUUCUCUGAAAAGACAGUGUUUACAGCAAAAAGCCUGAAGGUAAUGAUUCUACUCACCAGAACAAAUUCAAUAAGCUGUAGUUGUUCUGGUUACUAUAGUUUCCCUUUAACCCUUAAACAGUCUUAUGUCUCACAUGGUGCCCAGCAACAAUUAUCAAGCACAUGCCACAAUGUAACAAAGCCAACGAACCAAACCGCUAACUAUGCUUUAGAUGGGCCUCUUAUUACAAAUGGCUCAAAAACACUACAAGUAUGUGUUUCUUCCCCAGGGAUCAUUCAUUAAACAGUGAUUGGUAUUGAGUUGUCAACCUAGUUCCAAAUUGAAGGUCAAACUGUCAAACAACCUCCAGGUAUUCUCCUAGAUGCGGUUUCUCACAGAGGAGGUAAACAUUUUAAAAUAAAUGGUUUCAUUUUCACUGCACUAAAACGCAUUCUGCGUGUAUCUGCUAAACUGAUAUGGUUCUCUCUCAAAUUAGAGAUUAACGAUGUCAGAUUUUCCUUAAAACAAUUGCAUGGGCAAAACCCGGCCAAAGCAAAACAAAUUUCAGACGGAUGAACUGAUUUGGCUGAACCAAUUUUUUGUCGUGCACAAGUAUAGUAAUGAUAUCCCUCCUUGAGAGAGAAACUAAAUGUGGUUAAUUUCCCCCAACAUCGAAGCAUGAAGCUCUGAGAAAGUUCAAAAUGUUUUAAAAUUUUCUGUCACAUUUUAAUGGUUAAUAACCACUGUGUUUGUGUAGUCUGCGAAAUGAUAUUAAGUGUAGAAACUGACUCUGCUCUAUCCUGGAAGUGAGAACCUCCAUCUUGGCUUCCUGUCAACAAUUGUUAGAAGAGUAAGCCUUCCUUGUCAUUGAACAUAGAAGCUGUGAGAAGAAAACCAGAAACAAAGUUUCUAAUUCUUCUCCUGUAAAUCACUGUGUGCCCUGGAUGUGCCAGGACUAAACUGGACUGUGAUGUAAGUUGCAAAAAUAUUUAAUAUACAAUCAAAAGAAAUGGAGCAUUAAUUGAAUAUAUAUUAUAUAUACAUAUCGGGUUACUUUAGGUUAGUGGUGUCGGACAGCAAUGGGUGUGUAAAACAGGAGCCUUGCUUAUAUGUGUACAAUGGAGUGUUUGUAUUGUAAUCUCGACAGCAAUCACUGGGAGGAAAAGAAUGGUUCCAUAAGCUCAUCACCUCAUAUUAAACUAUUUACCUCUCCCCCACCCCUGUUUACAGGCUAUGGAUGACACAAAUUUCAACAUAUAGAUGUAGAAAACAUGCCAUUGUGUGACAAGUGGUUCAGAAUGUCCCUGUGAUGUGAUGUGUGCAGGUCAAUGAUUAUGAUCAAUGUUAUUAACUGGGGAUACGAAUAGAAAGAAAAUACAAAAUGGUAUAUUCAAACCGCAGAGCUCUGCUUAGGAGAAAUAAAAGCAGGAUUUGAAACAUGACGGCACAAACAGCUGUGUAGAAACAGCGAAAGGAGGUUUUCAAUUUUCUAUUUAGUGAAUAAACCAUCAAAAUAUAUGAAACAGUUUUAGAAAGUAGUUAAGGCGAAAAGACGAUAGAUGGCAACUUUAAGCCAAGGGGCUAGCACAAACAAAUGGCCUUUUUGGAUAUAAAUAUCACAGAAUUCUAUCAGGGAUUAUCAUUAAAGUGAGAAUUGUUAAAGUGAAUUCAAAGUGAACUUUUAAGUGGCAGAAUUAAAAACAAAUCCCCAUGUCAAUAAUGGUUCCAGUUUGGAUAUUCUGUACUCAUUUGAAAUUCAAUUUAACCCACUUUGAAUUUUACGCAGGUGUCUCUAGAAUAAAAAGGAACUCGAUUCAACCUGAGAUUUUUUGGAUUGACAGGUGUGCCUUCAUUAAGAUAUUGGCUUGCCCAAAUAUCUCUACCUGUUUAUAAUCAUACCCUUCUCUUCCAGCAUAACACAAUCAAUGGGCACAUGACGGGAUAGCAACUUUGUUAUUAACGCUAAUCAUAAGCCUUGGUGGGAGCCAGAUCUUAUCACCAUGGCAACUUUACAGUUGUUUAAGUAGCCAGAUAUAACAAAAUAAUAGUGUCAAUGAUAAUAUUUAAUUAGGCAGUCAGAUUGAAGACGUCUUCUAAAACGUUAUAUAUUUAUAUACAUUUUGUACCAUUUUCAGCUUUAGUUUAAACCCUUUAUAACUGACACAAUGAUCUAGAUUCACAAUAAACCAAAUCAACACCAUUGUGUUUCAAUGCAAAAAAAAGAAAAUAAUGGGCAAGAUUUGCAAAGUUCUAGAUUGGUUGCUUGAUGGCCAAGUUCUAAAAACAUACUGUAUUGUUUUACAUUUCUCUGUCAAUCCACCAUCGAGCAAUAUAUCCAGUGUUGCACACUAUGUUGGUGCUAUGUAAAUAAAUGAUACUUUAAUCUAUUUUCUAACACUGAUCGUUAAAUUAAAUAGAUACUUUCAGGGUUAUUAACUAAAGUGAGAAUUCGAUGCGGAUCUCAAAUUUAAGGUCAAAAUUGCCAGCCUUGCCUACCACGAACAUAUGCCAUGUUUACAGAGGAACUGUAACAUUCUGGGUUAUUCUGGCACAGCCUGGCACAUGAUGCAGAUUGCAAUGUCUAUGCAUUUCCUUUUUGAACCCAAAGACAGGAAGUCAUGAAUAAAUCACGUUUUCUGUACAGUGCCGACAGCAGGGUGCAUUUUAUACUUACCCCUGGGGCACAACACACCAUAGUAAACACUUCAGAAGUGUCACAGCUCCUCAUUUAGUUAAAAUGUUUAAUCAUAACAAAAUAAUGUUUUAGCGUGUUAAGAAAUGUAUAUAGUAAAUUCUUGCCAUUAUUUUCAUUGUUACUAUUAAAAAUAUGUUGCAACAUAGAAAAAUAAGAAAAAUAUUUCCAAUCCCUUACAUUCUGAAUUUGGUAGCAAACUAUGUAGGGAUAUUCUUUAAAAUGUAUUUGUCAAGCCAAAUAUGAAUGAUGUCACUUUAAAGAGCAUAUCAUGUAUCAGUACAUUGUGUUAGACAAGCUACCGGCAAAUAUAUAGAUGGAAAAUUGUUUAGGGCUAGAGUCUAUUAGAUGAGAUAAGUUUAUCUCUUUUACUGAAUAGCAUUUUUGUUAAGUCAAUGGAAAAAAAAAAACUAUUUAAUUACAGAUAAAUCUAUGUCACGUAUUAGAAUUUAACCCUUUUGGCUGUAUUUCUGUGCUGUUGGCAUGGCAGUAAUGGCUAUAUCUAAGGUUUUUGUGAGCAACUAUCAAAAAUCAUGGAAAAAAGUGCUGUUAAAAUAUUGCCGCAGGAAGCCCACAGGCUUAUUCAAUAAAACUGGAAUUGUGAAGAAUUGAUCAUUUAGGGCAAAAUAGCUGAAUUAGAGAAAUACAGAUCCCCCCACCCUCCAGUUCAGUUAGUUUUAACUAGAAUUACCUUCUCAAUUCUCCACAAUACCCAGCCUUGAAUCCUUAAUAUCAGUACCCUAAAUAUCAUUUUUUUUAAGUUAACAAUUACCACUACAAGCCAGUAAAAUCUAUUACUAUCCAAAACAAAUUAUGCAACAAAUCAGAUACACAUGCUGCAAAUCUUAUCAUGUAAGAGUGAUAUUGCAAAGAUAACUUAUUCACAUGUUUCUUCUCAUAGGGAAUGAUAGAAUCUGUAACACAGAGCCAAUUAAUGCCAUCGUACUCUGAUGCACAGUUCUCCUGGAUGGACUUGUUCUGUUCUGACAUUUAUCCUGCAUAUCGAGAUCCACCAGGUAAGGAUUGAAUGUGUCUA
RNAcentral lists this long non-coding RNA (10256 nucleotides) under Pelobates cultripes (western spadefoot toad). Lineage: Eukaryota; Metazoa; Chordata; Amphibia; Anura; Pelobatidae. The record is from RNAcentral.